ACAAAUGGGGGCCUUGUCAUAAAAUACUCUGUGGUUAAGCGUGCUGCAGUCAAAGAAAUCUUAGGAUGAGUGACCCACUGGGAAAUACGGAGCACCUCGAUCUACAAGUGGUAUCAGAGCUUGGUCACAUGUUUGACGGGUGAGCUAGCACUGUGGGUGAAUGGCGAAGACCUGGGGCGUGGCCAAGACAACUAACAAAGGCGGUAGACUAUCACCGACGAAAUUAAUUUGUUACCAAAAAUAUUUGGCAAUAAAAAUAAAAUUCGUCGGCAUUAAAUAUUGACG
Molecule: long non-coding RNA, 285 nt
Filed under: Vitis vinifera (wine grape)
Lineage: Eukaryota; Viridiplantae; Streptophyta; Magnoliopsida; Vitales; Vitaceae
Description: long non-coding RNA (VVIN_LNC000587)
Source: RNAcentral